AUAAAAAAAAAAAAAGAAACA
Molecule: small nuclear RNA, 21 nt
Filed under: Arabidopsis thaliana (thale cress)
Lineage: Eukaryota; Viridiplantae; Streptophyta; Magnoliopsida; Brassicales; Brassicaceae
Description: snRNA_01248
Source: RNAcentral